RNAcentral lists this ribosomal RNA (189 nucleotides) under uncultured bacterium. RNAcentral describes it as "partial 16S ribosomal RNA". It matches the Rfam family "Bacterial small subunit ribosomal RNA", at positions 1294 to 1500 of the family's 1533-position model. The record is from RNAcentral.
CGGAUAAGAGGCUGAAACUCGCCUCUUUGAAGUCGGAAUCGCUAGUAAUCGCAGAUCAGCAUGUUGCGGUGAAUACGUUUCCUGGUCUUGUACACACCGCCCGUCAAACCAUGAGAGUCGCCAACACCCGAAGUCCGCUUUGCGGCCUAAGGUGGGGGAGAUGAUUGGGUUAAGUCGUAACAAGGUAUC